AUACGGAGGGUGCAAGCGUUAUUCGGAAUCACUGGGCGUAAAGGGUGCGUAGGCGGUUUGAUAAGUCUGAUGUGAAAUCCUAUGGCUCAACCAUAGAACUGCAUUGGAAACUGUCAGACUAGAAUACUCAAGGGGCAGAUGGAAUUAGUGGUGUAGGGGUAAAAUCCGUAGAUAUCACUAGGAAUACCGAAAGCGAAAGCGAUCUGCUGGGAAGUUAUUGACGCUGAGGCACGAAAGCGUGGGGAGCAAACGGUAUUAGAAACCCCUGUAGUCC
RNAcentral lists this ribosomal RNA (274 nucleotides) under uncultured bacterium. Its description in RNAcentral is "partial 16S ribosomal RNA". It matches the Rfam family "Bacterial small subunit ribosomal RNA", at positions 523 to 796 of the family's 1533-position model. The record is from RNAcentral.